UUCGGGCGUGGUAGCGGCCGCCUGUAACCCAAACGCGGGGGAAGGAAGAUGAGGAUGUGGGGCGUCGGGGACAGGACCUGCGGAGACAUGUGGAGGGCCUGUCCACUCCAAGCGCGGAGUCGGCAGCGGGAUCUCGCCGGAGGGUGAGGUUUCGCUGGCGAUAGUGAGGGGGACAUCGCGUCAGGCGGGCAACCGAGCAGCGUUCAUUCCCCGCUCUGUGCAGUGGAGGGAUAGCGGGCCUGAAUGUUCAGCGCAGAUCAUCCUGCUCGGCAUGCAGCUGCAAACCCAUCUUCCCU
This 296-nucleotide signal recognition particle RNA is filed under the name Physcomitrium patens. RNAcentral describes it as "Physcomitrella patens Metazoan signal recognition particle RNA". It matches the Rfam family "Metazoan signal recognition particle RNA". Rfam says of the family: The signal recognition particle (SRP) is a universally conserved ribonucleoprotein. It is involved in the co-translational targeting of proteins to membranes. The record is from Rfam by way of RNAcentral. Lineage: Eukaryota; Viridiplantae; Streptophyta; Bryopsida; Funariales; Funariaceae.